This 253-nucleotide ribosomal RNA is filed under the name uncultured bacterium. RNAcentral describes it as "partial 16S ribosomal RNA". It matches the Rfam family "Bacterial small subunit ribosomal RNA", at positions 524 to 776 of the family's 1533-position model. The record is from RNAcentral.
UACGUAGGGGGCAAGCGUUGUCCGGAUUUACUGGGCGUAAAGCGCGUGUAGGCGGAAGCGAAAGUCCGGUGUGAAAGCCCCCCGCUCAACUGGGGAAGGGCGCUGGAAACUGCGCUUCUUGAGGGCGGCAGAGGGAAGUGGAAUUGCUGGUGUAGCGGUGAAAUGCGUAGAGAUCAGCAGGAACACCCGUGGCGAAGGCGGCUUCCUGGGCCGCGCCUGACGCUGAGACGCGAAAGCGUGGGGAGCGAACGGG